CUACUCUUCAUUACUUUGAAAGUAUUUGUCAACACUGCUGGAAAAAAAUGAUCAAUGCUAUUUCUCUCUUUCUUUUAGAUUGAUUUUGAGGUAACAAGAUGACAGAGUUUCAAAGAAACAUAAAUGGGACUGUCUUCCUAUGGUGUCAAGAUGGCUCCUGGAAGCUCCACACUUAGCUGGUCAUUAAAGAUUAUGAUGUCACAGAAAGAUAGAAACCAUCUUGUCUUCAACAGCCUCAUCAACUCCUGGGAAGAUUGCUUAGGCCCAACCCGUGUGUACCUGGAGGAUUGCCACCCCCAUCUGCCUGCCCCUGUACUGGAAGCUGAUUGUCGCUCCCCACCUGCACUCUGGGACACUGCUUUGUGCUGGCCAGUUUUCUAGACCAGCUUUAGCCUGGACAAAUGGGGGAAUUUUCUUUUUUUCCUAUCUGGUGGGCUAAGUUAUACUUUCCCUAAUAAGGUAUGAACUUCAGCCUUGAGGAGAGAGUUUCACUCUGAGUUUGUCUUUCCUUGGAUACUCUCUCUCAUUCCUGGAGUAUCACACAGCAUUUUCAUAUCUGUUAUGAUUAUUCUUUUAUCAUAGAUUGAUGAUUCUUUAUAUUGAGCUUUGGUUGUUUAACUCACCAUGUGGUUUCUGUUUCGACCUACAUUAGUCAUUAGUCAGUGCAAAUUAAAACCACAAAGAGAUACAAUUAUAUAUAUACUUGAAUGGCUAAUCUGUUUUUUAAAAAAGUAUGGACAAUACCAAAUAUUGGUAAAAAUGUAGGGCACCUGGAAUUCUCAUUCACUAUUGGUGGGAAUAUGAAAUAUUAUUAGCACUUUGGGGAAAAAAAGCCUCAAAGAUUCUUAUAAAACUAAGAUACACUUAUUCUAAUAUUCAUCAGUUCUACUCCAAGAGAAAUCAAGACAUAUAUCCACAGAAAGGCUUGUAUAGGAAUGUUCUGAGAUAUUGUACUGAUAAUAGCCAAAGCUGAAAACAAAUGCCCAUCAAUAGGCACAUGGGUAAAUAGACUAUGGUGUAGUAAUUUGAUGGAGUACUACUUAGUGAUAAAAGAACAGAAAACACUGCUUUUGAGCAACAUUGAUGAAUCUCAAAAUCAUACUGAGUGAAAGAAGCCUUAAACAAAAUUUUCAUAUUAUAUGACUCUAUGAGAUUCUAGACCAAGUAAACUAAGGUUUGGCAGGGGGAAAACAGUGGUUGACUCUGUGAAGAAUAGAGAUUAAUUGGGAAGAGGCUUGCAAGAAUGUUCUGGAGUGAUGAAAGUAUUAUUAUACCUCUUGAUAUUCUCUGUGCAAAUACUAAGAAUGAAUCUUUAAAAAACAUGAAUUCAGUUUAUAUAGAUUAUGCAUUUGCCAAAACUUAUUGAAUGGUUCUGUUAAGAUUUGUGCAUUUCAUAGCAGUGCAUUUAACCUAAAAAUGUUUAAAGAAGCAAUGGUGUAAUGCUACAGUGCUUAGAUGAGAAGUAUACUGAUGCCUGCAACCUAUUUUGAAAUUCAUUCAAAAUACAGGUAGAUUGGAUUCCUGGGUGGCGCAGCGGUUUGGCGCCUGCCUUUGGCCCAGGGCGCGAUCCUGGAGACCUGGGAUCGAGUCCCACGUCGGGCUCCCGGUGCAUGGAGCCUGCUUCUCCCUCUGCCUGUGUCUCUGCCCCCUCUCUCUCUUUCUGUGUGACUAUCAUAAAUAAAUAAAAAUUUAAAAAAAAAUACA
This is a long non-coding RNA of Vulpes vulpes (red fox), 1704 nucleotides long. The record is from Ensembl. Lineage: Eukaryota; Metazoa; Chordata; Mammalia; Carnivora; Canidae.